This is an RNA transcript of Raphanus sativus (radish), 687 nucleotides long. It is a transcript of the gene named PHD finger-like domain-containing protein 5A, with no coding region annotated. The transcript has 2 exons. NCBI's taxonomy places the organism in Eukaryota, Viridiplantae, Streptophyta, Magnoliopsida, Brassicales, Brassicaceae. The record is from RefSeq and is a predicted model, not a curated record.
AAAAGAAACAAACCCGACCGACGGUGGCGCUAACAGAGCCACCACGCGCCGGCCGGUGGAGAUCGCAAAGUUGAACGGAGGAGAAGCUAGUUUAUCGGACGAGAGGAUAAGAUGCUUUUUUAAUCUGGUUAAAUCUUAAGAGAGGAGGGACCAAGAGCCUUGUUUUUUUAGCAAGCCAUGGCCAAGCAUCAUCCUGAUUUGAUCAUGUGCCGGAAACAACCUGGCAUCGCCAUUAGGAGAUUGUGCGAGAAAUAUGAUGGCAAGUGCGUGGUCUGCGAUUCCUACGUGCGCCUCUGUACGCUGGUUAGGAUUUGAGAUGAAUGCAACUAUGGUUCGUUCCAAGGACGGUGUGUCAUAUGCGGAGGGGUUGGAAUCUCAGAUGCUUACUACUGCAAAGAGUGUACACAGCAGGAGAAAGAUCGAGAUGGUUUUCCCAAGAUUGUCAAUCUCGGGAGUGCGAAGACUGAUUUGUUCUAUGAACGUAAGAAGUAUGGAUUUAAGAAAUGAUGAUUGUUUCUUAAAUCGUAGGUAAGUGUCUGUACUAGUCUAUUUCUAGGCAUUGAUUCAAAGAAAAUACCAUUGUUUGUUACUCUUUGUGCCUUAUCGAUUAGCCGAACGUCUUAUCUUUGUCAGCGGCGAAUCUACAUUGAAGCUUGUGGGUGCAAGUGCACCCAUAAAAAUUUAAUA